Molecule: unclassified non-coding RNA, 213 nt
Filed under: plant metagenome
Description: partial contains small subunit ribosomal RNA, internal transcribed spacer 1, and 5.8S ribosomal RNA
Source: RNAcentral
UUUCCGUAGGUGAACCUGCGGAAGGAUCAUUCAUAAUAAGUGUUUUACGGCACUUUUUUAAAUCCAUAUCCACCUUGUGUGCAAUGUCAGGGUUGAUUUUUCUCUCGAGAGGAUCAACCCCAAACAUCAACUAUAUCUCAACUCUUUGUCUGAAAAAUAUUAUGAAUAAAACAAUUCAAAAUACAACUUUCAACAACGGAUCUCUUGGCUCUC